UAAUCAAAGCCCUCUCCCAACACCUCCUUGU
Molecule: non-coding RNA, 31 nt
Filed under: Mus musculus (house mouse)
Lineage: Eukaryota; Metazoa; Chordata; Mammalia; Rodentia; Muridae
Source: RNAcentral